GGAAGGAUCAUUAACACUAAUCCACACAUCUCAACUUAGCCUUCAGUGCAGCAUCAGUCCACGCUAGCGAAAGCAGGCAUGAGCUGUUGCAGCAUCAAUAAACUAAUCAAACAAAGGAGCCUAACUAAGCUUAUCAACUAAUACCAAAUUCUCAACGAUGGAUAUCUUGGUUCCCAUAACGAUGAAGAACGCAGCGAAGUGCGAUAAGCAAUGCGAAUUGCAGAACCGUGAGUCAUCAGAUUUUUGAACGCAACUGGCGCCAGUUGGUCCUCCAGCUGGCAUGCUUGUUUCAGUGUCUCUUUUUCUCCUCACCCAAACCUUAAUGUGAGAGAUACCCUUCUCUUACCAAGUACGAAAGCACUCUGAGCUCUGCACGCGGCUUCGCUUCGGUGGAUCCGCACUCAAUGCAGCAGUCACAUUUUACAAUGUGAACUCAUUGAGAGUUGAGUCAGCGCAGCUCGUCUGCAAGUGCUUAGACCUCUAAACUCUUCUUGUAUCUGAAAUCAAGCAGGAUCACCCGCUGAACUUAAGCAUAUCACUAAGCGGAGGAAAAGAAAUUAACUAAGAUUGCCCCAGUAACGGCGAGUGAAGCGGCAAAAGCCCAAAUUGGAAAUCUUCAUCUUUUAGAUGACGAAUUGUAAUCUAUAGUUUGGUAGCUCACCUAGCGGUGGCGCAGAAGUGACUUAGAACGGUCCGCCAGAGAGGGUGACAGCCCCGUAUGUGGUGCCACUGCUUAACGAGCUCCAUUCAAAGAGUCGGGUUGUUUUGAAUUUCAGCCCUAAUCUAGGAGAUAGACUUCUUCUAAGGCUAAAUAUUUAUGGGAAACCGAUAGCGAACAAGUACUGUGAAGGAAAGAUGAAAAGAACUUUGAAAAGAGAGUCAAAAGACUUGAAAUCGUUGAGAAGGAA
RNAcentral lists this unclassified non-coding RNA (908 nucleotides) under uncultured Urostylida. RNAcentral describes it as "sequence contains 18S rRNA gene, ITS1, 5.8S rRNA gene, ITS2, 28S rRNA gene". The stretch from base 494 to 908 matches the Rfam family "Eukaryotic large subunit ribosomal RNA", at positions 1 to 418 of the family's 3401-position model. The record is from RNAcentral. Lineage: Eukaryota; Ciliophora; Spirotrichea; Urostylida.